UAAAAAGCUUUGAAAAGGAAGAGUAUCUUUUAAACAGCUGUCAGAGAGAAAAGUUCGUAGGCUGCAAAACUUUUUCGGUAUGCAAAAGAGAAGACCGCCUUCAAGCUCACUUUUGAAAUCAUAGUAGAAAGUUGCGGUGGAGUCCGUUAUCGCCAUGAAGAGAUUCAUUAGGUGGAAAGCGAGUAUGCACUCGUCCUGUUU
Molecule: non-coding RNA, 201 nt
Filed under: Peptostreptococcaceae bacterium
Lineage: Bacteria; Bacillati; Bacillota; Clostridia; Peptostreptococcales; Peptostreptococcaceae
Description: T-box sequence
Rfam family: T-box leader
About the family: Uncharged tRNA acts as the effector for transcription antitermination of genes in the T-box leader family. T-boxes are found upstream of many aminoacyl-tRNA synthetase genes and some amino acid biosynthetic genes usually in Gram-positive bacteria.
Source: RNAcentral